Molecule: ribosomal RNA, 811 nt
Filed under: Acinetobacter sp. NF439
Lineage: Bacteria; Pseudomonadati; Pseudomonadota; Gammaproteobacteria; Moraxellales; Moraxellaceae
Description: bacterial SSU rRNA
Rfam family: Bacterial small subunit ribosomal RNA
Source: RNAcentral
GCGCGCGUAGGUGGUUAAUUAAGUCAAAUGUGAAAUCCCCGAGCUUAACUUGGGAAUUGCAUUCGAUACUGGUUAGCUAGAGUAUGGGAGAGGAUGGUAGAAUUCCAGGUGUAGCGGUGAAAUGCGUAGAGAUCUGGAGGAAUACCGAUGGCGAAGGCAGCCAUCUGGCCUAAUACUGACACUGAGGUGCGAAAGCAUGGGGAGCAAACAGGAUUAGAUACCCUGGUAGUCCAUGCCGUAAACGAUGUCUACUAGCCGUUGGGGGAUUUGAUCCUUUAGUGGCGCAGCUAACGCGAUAAGUAGACCGCCUGGGGAGUACGGUCGCAAGACUAAAACUCAAAUGAAUUGACGGGGGCCCGCACAAGCGGUGGAGCAUGUGGUUUAAUUCGAUGCAACGCGAAGAACCUUACCUGGCCUUGACAUAGUAGAGACUUUCCAGAGAUGGAUUGGUGCCUUCGGGAAUCUACAUACAGGUGCUGCAUGGCUGUCGUCAGCUCGUGUCGUGAGAUGUUGGGUUAAGUCCCGCAACGAGCGCAACCCUUUUCCUUACUUGCCAGCAUUUCGGAUGGGAACUUUAAGGAUACUGCCAGUGACAAACUGGAGGAAGGCGGGGACGACGUCAAGUCAUCAUGGCCCUUACGGCCAGGGCUACACACGUGCUACAAUGGUCGGUACAAAGGGUUGCUACACAGCGAUGUGAUGCUAAUCUCAAAAAGCCGAUCGUAGUCCGGAUCGCAGUCUGCAACUCGACUGCGUGAAGUCGGAAUCGCUAGUAAUCGCGGAUCAGAAUGCCGCGGUGAAUACGUUCCCG